CCCUGCUCAAUGACAUAUUAAAUAGCCGCAGUACUUUGACUGUGCAAAGGUAGCAUAAUCAUUUGGCUUAUAAUUGAAGUCUGGAAUGAAUGGGAGUAUGGGUAGUUACUGUCUUACCAUAAAUAAUUGAAUUUACUAAUUAAGUGAAAAUUCUUAUAGUAAUAUAAUAGACGAGAAGACCCUAGAAAUUUUAUAUAUUUAUGUGGUUACAUAGACUAUUUUGUUGGGGCGACAGAGCAACAUUUAACUUGUUUAUUAUUAUUUGACCUUAUUGAAAAGUGUAACUAAAUUACUCUAGGGAUAACAGCAUAAUACAAAAGAGUUUGUGACCUCGAUGUUGGACUAGGAAUAUUAUUGUUUAGAAGAUAAUAAUAAUAGCUCUGUUCGAGCUAAAAUUCCU
RNAcentral lists this ribosomal RNA (400 nucleotides) under Pyrenaearia oberthueri. RNAcentral describes it as "partial 16S ribosomal RNA". It matches the Rfam family "Archaeal large subunit ribosomal RNA", at positions 1949 to 2665 of the family's 2987-position model. The record is from RNAcentral. Lineage: Eukaryota; Metazoa; Mollusca; Gastropoda; Stylommatophora; Hygromiidae.